ACGGGUGAGUAACGCGUAGGUAACCUGCCUGGUAGCGGGGGAUAACUAUUGGAAACGAUAGCUAAUACCGCAUAAUAGUAGAUGUUGCAUGACAUUUGCUUAAAAGGUGCAAUUGCAUCACUACCAGAUGGACCUGCGUUGUAUUAGCUGGUUGGUGGGGUAAAGGCCUACCAAGGCGACGAUCAGUAGCGGGUCUGAGAGGAUGAUCCGCCACACUGGGACUGAGACACGGCCCAGACUCCUACGGGAGGCAGCAGUGGGGAAUUUUGGACAAUGGGGGCAACCCUGAUCCAGCCAUGCCGCGUGUCUGAAGAAGGCCUUCGGGUUGUAAAGGACUUUUGUCCGGGAAGAAAAGCGCGAUGUUAAUACCAUUGCGUGCUGACGGUACCGGAAGAAUAAGCACCGGCUAACUACGUGCCAGCAGCCGCGGUAAUACGUAGGGUGCGAGCGUUAAUCGGAAUUACUGGGCGUAAAGCGGGCGCAGACGGUUACUUAAGCAGGAUGUGAAAUCCCCGGGCUCAACCUGGGAAUUGCGUUCUGAACUGGGUGGCUAGAGUGUGUCAGAGGGGGGUAGAAUUCCACGUGUAGCAGUGAAAUGCGUAGAGAUGUGGAGGAAUACCGAUGGCGAAGGCAGCCCCCUGGGAUGGCACUGACGUUCAUGCCCGAAAGCGUGGGUAGCAAACAGGAUUAGAUACCCU
RNAcentral lists this ribosomal RNA (698 nucleotides) under uncultured bacterium. RNAcentral's name for it is "bacterial SSU rRNA". It matches the Rfam family "Bacterial small subunit ribosomal RNA", at positions 102 to 788 of the family's 1533-position model. The record is from RNAcentral.